UACGUAGGGUGCAAGCGUUGUCCGGAAUUAUUGGGCGUAAAGAGCUCGUAGGCGGUUUGUCGCGUCUGCUGUGAAAACUCGGGGCUUAACCCCGGGCCUGCAGUGGGUACGGGCAGACUAGAGUGCGGUAGGGGAGACUGGAAUUCCUGGUGUAGCGGUGAAAUGCGCAGAUAUCAGGAGGAACACCAGCGGCGAAGGCGGCGCUCUGGGCCGGUACUGACGCUGAGGAGCGAAAGCGUGGGUAGCAAACAGG
Molecule: ribosomal RNA, 253 nt
Filed under: uncultured bacterium
Lineage: Bacteria
Description: partial 16S ribosomal RNA
Rfam family: Bacterial small subunit ribosomal RNA
Source: RNAcentral